This 494-nucleotide ribosomal RNA is filed under the name uncultured bacterium. Its description in RNAcentral is "partial 16S ribosomal RNA". It matches the Rfam family "Bacterial small subunit ribosomal RNA", at positions 28 to 507 of the family's 1533-position model. The record is from RNAcentral.
GACGAACGCUGGCGGCGUGCUUAACACAUGCAAGUCGAACGGAAAGGCCUGCUUUCCCUUGUGGAUUGCGGGUACUCGAGUGGCGAACGGGUGAGUAACACGUGAGUGAUCUGCCCCCAACUUGGGUAUAAGCCUGGGAAACUGGGUCUAAUUCCCGAUAGGACUGCAGGGUGGUGCCUGUGGUGGAACACGAUUUUCUAGUGGUUGGGGAUGAGCUCGCGGCCUAUCAGCUUGUUGGUGGGGUAAUGGCCUACCAAGGCGGCGACGGGUAGCCGGCCUGGGAGGGUGGACGGACGCAUUGGGACUGAGAUACGGCCCAGACUCCGACGGGAGGCAGCAGUGGGGAAUAUUGCACAAUGGGCGGAAGCCUGAUGCAGCGACGCCGAGUGGGGGAUGACGGCCUUCGGGUUGUAAACUCCUUUCGACCGCGAGGAAGCCACCUGGUUGGAAGGGUGGUGACGGUAGUGGUAGAAGAAGCACCGGCUAACUACGUG